This 252-nucleotide long non-coding RNA is filed under the name Anser brachyrhynchus (Pink-footed goose). Its description in RNAcentral is "lncRNA (ENSABRG00000014687.1)". The record is from RNAcentral. Lineage: Eukaryota; Metazoa; Chordata; Aves; Anseriformes; Anatidae.
CUGUAAGCUGUUGCUACAUCUCUCUCAGGCUUGGUGAGAUGCAGAAAACAUCUAGGUCCCCUUCCCAAGCUGGAGUUCAGGAUGAAUGACUGUGACAGUGUAUGGGACUGCAGCAGGAUAACUUUGAGAGAUGCAAGAAAGAUCCAUGGCCUGGGACACAGUGAUUAAAACCCAGGAGUCUUCAGCUGAACUAGAAUCAGCCAUCCUACUGAAAGAGUAAUUUCUCAUCACCACUAAAAUUUGAAAAGGGAU